UGAGUGUCCAUGACAAGUGAUUAUUUAUUGUUUUUGAGAGGCCAUCAGCGCCUGUGAAGGGCGAGCCGUCGGCACCACAUUGCCGCAUUGAUAAGACUACGACCAACAGUUACUGAAAUUCCUCCAUUUGACGAGAAAUAUUUUUAUUAUUUCUAGUCUAUACUCCCUCCGUUACUUUAUGUAAGGUCUAUUGUUUACGGUAUGGACUAAGGCACAUAAUUAUAGACAAUUUAUGACAAAAUUACCCUUAGCUAAUUCGUUGAUUAGUGGAAACUAAAUCAUUCAGGCUAUGAAAGCAAGAGAUACACACAAUCGGAAGAGAUGUUUUUUCUUUUUUCUUUACAAAGAGAGAUACAUGCAAUCGAAAAGAGAUACUUUCUUUUUCCGGAGGGUUAGAAUUAUGUGAAACUGAAAGAAAUAUACCUUAUAUUAUGAAAUUUUAUCAAAAAACAAAUACACAUUAAAUAAAGUAACGGAGGAGUAUUACAUACCAUGUAAUGAGUUAUGAUGGUACGCAUCAAGGGGGGCUUCUCACGCUAAACACGUCAUCACAAGGAGAUAAAAAAAAGGCGUUACCAUUAGGUGGGAGGGACUCGGACUGGGACGCUCGCGUAUUGGGCAGAAAGAGAGAGACAAAAAAAAUCACGCUCCUCACCUCUCGCAUUCUCACCCCACGCACGCCAUCUCCUCUCGCUCCGCAAGCCAAAGCUCGGAUAUUAUGGAGAGCAUGAUAUUAUGAUAUUAUGGAGAGUAAUUCAUGUCUCCGCCAAAGCUCGGUCAGCAAGAGUUACCCACAUAUAUGGUAUUUAUUUACAAAAGUUAAUACGUAGCAUAAUCUGAGGAAACAUUUAACGCAUUCAAACCUGGAUCCUAAGAAAGCAUUUAAUGCAUUAAAACCAUAAGCCUCUAUAUAAACGAAUACCACCAAGGCUCAGCCAGUAAACAUUGCAGCAACACCACCCAGAUCCAGAUCAGAAAGAAGCUCCAGCAUCUCCUCAUGGCAGUCCUCGGCAAGAGUAAUAGCGUUGUGUGCCUCACAGCACUAGUGCUCAUGGCCACCGUUCUCUCCUCACGUGCCGACAAUGGAUGCGACAUCGGUCCAUUUCCCAAGGAAAACUGUACUGAGCUAUGUCAUAAAGCAUGCGGUCAUGCCGGCGUUUGCCUUUUAGGAGAUGACGAGAAGUAUUACUGUUGUUGUGAACCUGUACGCCAAGACGGAUCCAUGAGGCCUCAAGAGGUUGCUGAAAUGAUACAAACAUAGUGUCAUGGAUCACCAGAGCCAUGUCGAAUAAAUGUGCUAGGUCUUUUUGAACUUGUAUCGAAUUUGAUAGCUAGUAUCGUCUGUUCCUCGGUUGGAUCCAAUGAACUUGUAUUCCCCAUCUGAUAAAGUUUGUUUUUGUUGGCCCCA
Aegilops tauschii subsp. strangulata is the source of this 1408-nucleotide long non-coding RNA. RefSeq lists it as uncharacterized. The record is from RefSeq and is a predicted model, not a curated record. Lineage: Eukaryota; Viridiplantae; Streptophyta; Magnoliopsida; Poales; Poaceae.